Myodes glareolus (Bank vole) is the source of this 661-nucleotide long non-coding RNA. RefSeq lists it as uncharacterized. The record is from RefSeq and is a predicted model, not a curated record. Lineage: Eukaryota; Metazoa; Chordata; Mammalia; Rodentia; Cricetidae.
UAUGUUAGUUAGUAAAUGCAAGUUACUGCUUUGUGUACAAGGUAGGCUUUGGGAGAACCAGAGCCACUACUUUCUAUUGUUAUUGCUGCCUCAAGAGUUCACUUUAGAACUGACUCAACGGAAAUUACUGGAAACGUUCUUGAGUACAUCUAUUCCAUUAGUUCCUCGGCUUCCUACCUACAAACUAGAAAUGGAUGAAAUUACAUUAUGAGAGGAAACCCAGAGACUAGGGCGGGCUACAGCAUGGAAGCAUUUAGCUUCCCCGCCACAACCAUCCAAAGCGCUGAGCAAAUUGGCACCCCUGUGAGCAGCCUAUGGCAAGUGGGGUCAAAGUCAGAGAAAGGGCACAGACAAAUGUCCCAGUAAUGUGUGUUCUAGACUUUACAGCCAAGCUCACCAUCAAUCCCAAGCAGAAUUCCAGAUAUGACACAAGAAACCAGAGAGGAAGUUUACAAAAUGGCCGCUGGGACCCGAGCUAAGCUAGCCUGGUAAUCCCUUCAAUACAGUGCUUCCAGUCAUGAUGAUUAAUCCGCUGAAGUUGACUACCCGCCCAACGCAGAUGACACCUUGAUGUCCUAAGAUGCCACAGUUUAGAAUUUCCCCAAUUUCACAACUUUACGUCUGUAAAUUAAUUAGAAUAAAAGUCAUAGUUAAGCACAAA